Molecule: ribosomal RNA, 330 nt
Filed under: uncultured bacterium
Lineage: Bacteria
Description: bacterial SSU rRNA
Rfam family: Bacterial small subunit ribosomal RNA
Source: RNAcentral
GGGAUGACGUCAAGUCCUCAUGGCCUUUAUGUCCAGGGCUACACACGUGCUACAAUGGCCGGUACAAACCGCUGCAAACCCGCGAGGGUGAGCCAAUCGGAGAAAGCCGGCCUCAGUUCGGAUUGCAGUCUGCAACUCGACUGCAUGAAGCUGGAAUCGCUAGUAAUCGCGGAUCAGCAUGCCGCGGUGAAUACGUUCCCGGGCCUUGUACACACCGCCCGUCACAUCACGAAAGUGGGUUGUACUAGAAGCAGGUGAGCUAACCGCAAGGAAGCAGCCUUCCAAGGUGUGAUUCAUGAUUGGGGUGAAGUCGUAACAAGGUAGCCGUAA